Non-coding RNA from Mycena epipterygia, 92 nucleotides. Lineage: Eukaryota; Fungi; Basidiomycota; Agaricomycetes; Agaricales; Mycenaceae. The record is from the annotation of a GenBank genome assembly.
GCGGGUGUGGUGUAUGGUACACUGCUGUGUUCAUUGGGCCUUUGCUCCUUAAAUGCAGGCAGCAGACCCGGGUUCGACUCCCGGCACCCGCA